GCAAUGUGGUGUUUAGAUCGGCUAGUGGGACUGCCACUCCAUUCGAAGUCCAGCAUUGAGUAUGGUACCCUGGAUUUGGCCCAGAGAGGGUGAAAGGCCCGUGCGAAUGGAUGUUUCAGACAUGUCAGGCAGUUCAUCAGGUCGGUCUUCGAGUCGGGUUGUUUGAGAAUGCAGCCCUAAGUGGGUGGUAAACUCCAUCCAAGGCUAAAUACUGGCACGAGUCCGAUAGCGAACAAGUACCGUGAGGGAAAGUUGAAAAGUACUCUGAAGAGAGAGUAAACAGUACGUGAAACCGUAUAGAGGUAAACGGGUGGCGUCAAGCUGCAAGCCCAGAGGAUUCAGUUGGUCACUGUGUGCGUACGUCUUGUGUAUAUCAGUCGGUAAUAGAACGGGCAGUCCACUGGAUAACGGUGGGUUCGGUCGUAAGGCCGAAUGUAUGUUCCACCUCGGUUGGUGGUGUACGCUGUUCCACUAUUGGACUGGGUGGCCAAUGCACUUCCUCUGAUAUGGUGAACACCACGACCGGUGGAACUGCCAGUCUGGUAUAGCCAAGUUGUAUCCGGUUUGGCACUCGUGUCAGCUGGGUGCAAUCACAGGCAAAUUCGGUGGACGGUGGGCUUGCCCAUGUUAUCGGUCACUGUUUGUCAACGGGUGUGUCUGUCGGCGGUUGUGAUACUCGGCAGAUGACCUGGUGGGCUAUGCUGGUAAGAAUAACUGUGCAGGGCACCGGAGAUAGCGGUCUCAAAUCCGGUCGGCAUGCACUUCACAAGUGUCAAAUGGGGGCGCCAUUGCGGCCUGUCGGUUGCUGGGUCUGAUUGUCGUGUCGCCUGCGCAAAGUGGGUCCGACGGUGGCCUGGUAUCGGUCGGUGUCGUUAGUGGCGUUUCUGUGUGUCGGUUGGUGUGGAUCGAAUAGUCUGUGGUGUGGUGGUAGACGAGCUACCCGACCCGUCUUGAAACACGGACCAAGGAGUUUAACAUGCACGCGAGUCAUUGGGCUUAACGAAACCCAAAGGCGCAAUGAAAGUGAAGCCUGGACUUGUUCUCUGGGUGUGGUGAGAUCCUGCUGUUUCUCGCAUCUGCACUUGUGUAUUGUGUCAACACAAGGCAAAGA
This 1111-nucleotide ribosomal RNA is filed under the name Trygonicola macroporus. RNAcentral's name for it is "partial 28S ribosomal RNA". It matches the Rfam family "Eukaryotic large subunit ribosomal RNA", at positions 140 to 793 of the family's 3401-position model. The record is from RNAcentral. Lineage: Eukaryota; Metazoa; Platyhelminthes; Cestoda; Trypanorhyncha; Mixodigmatidae.